GCUGAGUGUGGUGGUGCACACCCGUAAUCCCAGCUACUUGGGAGGCCGAGGCAGGAGAAUCGCUUGAACCCAGGAGGCCAGAGGUUGCAGUGAGCUGAGAUCGUGCCACUGCACUCCAGCCUGGGUGACAGAGAGAGACUCUGUCUCAA
Pongo abelii (Sumatran orangutan) is the source of this 149-nucleotide unclassified non-coding RNA. It matches the Rfam family "Metazoan signal recognition particle RNA". Rfam says of the family: The signal recognition particle (SRP) is a universally conserved ribonucleoprotein. It is involved in the co-translational targeting of proteins to membranes. Lineage: Eukaryota; Metazoa; Chordata; Mammalia; Primates; Hominidae. The record is from Ensembl.